RNAcentral lists this ribosomal RNA (254 nucleotides) under uncultured bacterium. RNAcentral describes it as "partial 16S ribosomal RNA". It matches the Rfam family "Bacterial small subunit ribosomal RNA", at positions 524 to 776 of the family's 1533-position model. The record is from RNAcentral.
UACAGAGGUGGCAAGCGUUUGUUCGGAAUUACUGGGCGUAAAGGGCGCGUAGGCGGUUCGUUAAGUCCUGUGUGAAAUCCCCCGGCUCAACUGGGGAACUGCACAGGAAACUAGCGGGCUUGAGUUCGGGAGAGGGAAGCGGAAUUCCGGGUGUAGCGGUGAAAUGCGUAGAUACCCGGAGGAACACCGGUGGCGAAGGCGGCUUCCUGGACCGACACUGACGCUGAGGCGCGAAAGCUAGGGGAGCAAACGGG